This 2775-nucleotide ribosomal RNA is filed under the name termite gut metagenome. RNAcentral describes it as "bacterial LSU rRNA". It matches the Rfam family "Bacterial large subunit ribosomal RNA", at positions 3 to 2501 of the family's 2925-position model. The record is from RNAcentral.
UCAAGCUACAAAGAGCGCAGGGUGGAUGCCAAGGCGCCAAACGCCGACGAAGGACGCGAUAAGCUGCGAAAAGCCACGGGGAGCCGCAAAUAGGCAUUGAUCCGUGGAUGUCCGAAUGGGGAAACCCGGCGGAGGGAAUGCUCCGUCAGCCUGUAAUGAAUCCAUAGUUACAGGCGGGGAACCCGGGGAACUGAAACAUCUAAGUACCCGGAGGAAGAGAAAUUAACGUAAAGAUUUCCUAAGUAGUGGCGAGCGAAAGGGAAAGAGCCCAAACCGCGGGUCUACGGACGCGCGGGGUUGAGGGCCGGCAAAAUGGAUUGACAAGCUUUAAUGGAAGACGUCUGGAAAGGCGGGCCAAAGAGGGUAACAGCCCCGUAUAUGAAAGAGCGAGUCACCUAGCCGGUACCAGAGUACCACAGGACACGAGAAAUCCGGUGGGAAGCAGGGUGGACCACCAUCCAAGGCUAAAUACGUUUGGCGACCGAUAGCGCAUAGUACCGUGAGGGAAAGGUGAAAAGAACCCCGGGAGGGGAGUGAAAGAGAACCUGAAACCCUGUGUUUACAAGCGGAGAGAGCACGAUAUAGGUGCGAUCUCGUACUUUUUGUAGAACGGACCGGCGAGUUAUGGUAUGCAGCAAGGUUAAGCACUGAAGGUGCGGAGCCAAAGGGAAACCGAGUCUGAAAAGGGCGUAGAGUUGCAUGUCAUAGACCCGAAACCGGGUGACCUAUCCAUGAGCAGGUUGAAGUGAUGGUAAAACAUCAUGGAGGACCGAACCACGUUAGCGUGAAAAGCUAUGGGAUGACUUGUGGAUAGCGGAGAAAUUCCAAUCGAACCCGGAGAUAGCUGGUUCUCCUCGAAAUAGCUUUAGGGCUAGCCUCAGCCGUUGAUAAUCGCAGGUAGAGCUCUGAAUGGGCUAGGGGGUCACAAAACUUACCGAACCCUAUCAAACUGCGAAUGGCGAAUUAUUAAGGCUGGGAGUCAGACGGCGAGUGAUAAGAUCCGUCGUCAAAAGGGAAACAGCCCAGACCGCCGAUUAAGGUCCCAAAGUACAGGUUAAGUGGUAAAGGAUGUGCGUUUGCGAAAACAACCAGGAUGUUGGCUUAGAAGCAGCCACUCAUUAAAAGAGUGCGUAAUAGCUCACUGGUCGAGUGAAUGUGCGCCGAAGAUACAACGGGGCUAAAACCUGUCACCGAAAUCACGGAAGCAUCAGUUUCAUCAAGAACAUUUGGUGAUGACACUAAUGACAACAUAAGUGUGAAUCACUGAAAUGCCGAAAAGAACAGAGGUAAUCCACCGGGAUAGUCAAGGGAAGGAAACCCUUGACAUAACUCGGCUCACCGGCUCCGCCGGUGAACGGAUGAAUCACGAAGUGAUUCGCACCCUGCGGCAUCCCCGCCCGGAAAUCUCGGAAAGAUUUCAGGGGAUGGCGACAAAGCCCAUCUGAAAGGCAAAGCAUUUCAGAUGACCGGCAAAAACAUGAAAUGUUUUUGACGAAGCUGAUGCUUGGUAGAGGAGCAAUGUGUAUUGGGCAGAAGCCGUACUGAGAAGAGCGGUGGACUAUACACAAGAGAGAAUGCCGGUAUGAGUAGCGAGAGUCAAGUGAGAAACUUGACCGUCGAAAACCUAAGGAUUCCAGGGGAAGGCUUGUCCGCCCUGGGUAAGUCGGGGCCUAAGCCGAGGGCAAAAGCCGUAGGCGAUGGAAAACCGGUAGAGAUUCCGGUACCACCAAGACCCGUUUGAGAGAAGCAAUGACACAGAAGGAUACCCCGAGCCGGUUGAUGGUAGAGCCGGUGCAAGCAUAGAGGCUUUGACGUAGUUAAGUACGCGUCAUGGACGGCCGAUGUGUGAUGCGGAGCGAAAAUAAGUAGCGAAGCGGGAGAGUUCAGGCUGGCGAGAAAAGUUGCUAUCGAGGGAAAGGGUGCCCGUACCGCAAACCGACACAGGUAGGUGAGGAGAAGAUCCUAAGACGAACGGGAGAAACCUUGUUAAGGAACUCGGCAAAAUAACCCCGUAAGUUAGCGAUAAGGGGAGCCGCGAGAGCGGCCGCAGAGAAAUGGCCCAAGCGACUGUUUACCAAAAACACAGGUGUCUGCGAAAGCGAAAGCUGACGUAUAGGCGCUGACGCCUGCCCGGUGCCGGAAGGUUAAGGGGAAGUGUUAGGAGCAAUCCGAAGCACGGAACUUAAGCCCCGGUAAACGGCGGUCGUAACUAUAACGAUCCUAAGGUAGCGAAAUUCCUCGUCAGGUAAAUUCUGACCCGCACGAAUGGCGUAACGACUUGGGCGCUGUCUCAACAGGGGACCCGGUGAAAUUGAAGUAUGUGUGAAGAUGCACAUUACCCGCGACUGGACGGAAAGACCCCGUAGAGCUUUACUGUAGGCUGAUAUUGUAUUUCGGCACUGGAUGCACAGGAUAGGUGGGAGGCUUAGAAGCCGGUAUUUCGGUAUCGGUGGAGCCGCCGUUGGGAUACCACUCUUUCAUUGCUGAAGUACUAACAUGUGUGGAAAGCACGCAUAUGGACAGUGUCAGUUGGGCAGUUUGACUGGGGCGGUCGCCUCCAAAAGAGUAACGGAGGCGCCCAAAGGUACCCUCAGAAUGGAUGGAAACCAUUUACAGAGUGCAAAGGCAUAAGGGUGCUUAACUGCGAGACCGACGGGUCGAGCAGAUACGAAAGUAGGGCUUAGUGAUCAGGCGGCAUUGAGUGGAAAAGCCGUCGCUCAACGGAUAAAAGUUCGCGAUGGAUUCCUCCGCCGCCCUGAUAAUGUGAUAGCGUUU